GGGCGGUGAGGAGGCGGCGGAGCAGAGCGCGAGGCGCUCGCAGCCCCGGCGGGGCCGUUGACCGAGCUGCGGCAGGCAGGCUGCCAAUAGUUCAAAUGAGAGGCUUGUGGUUUCUAGCUGAAAACACUCCAUGUUUGGGAAAAAAACCAUGAUGUUUAUUGGAUUUUGCAGCGAUUCAGGGCUAUAUGGCUGAAGUGACUAAUGCACUGAUGGCGAGACUUAAAAAGAAUAACAGAUCAAAGGCUUGUGUCAGUCUCAGCGAUCUGAUUUGUUACUAUUAUAAAGGGCUUCCUAACUGAAUUAUCUCUUAGUAUGAUUUCUAAUGUAGUUAUACUGUGAGAAUUAUUCAUCUACUUUUCUUAAGAAUGAGAAGCCUCAUACUCAGUGUGUCCAUGAAGCUAGGAAAAUUUUGUCCCACACAGAACUGUAAUGGGCACUGACUUAUUGGAAUACUAAUGACCCAAAGAGACUUGGCUGCUCCAGACUGUCUAUAAAGAAAGUUGUUAUAAGAAAUAGGAGAAAUCUCAAGCACACAAAUGACUGUAACCUUUCUAGAUCAGAGACCUUAUUUUCAUUCUUGUAUAAUUUGAAUUAUAUAUGGAAACAAUAUAAAUAAAUGGAUAAAUAAUAAUUAAGAAUGAUUACUUCAGAGGAGAAGAGUGAGGGUGGCAGGAAGGCUUGUGAAUAUGUACAAUUGGACCCGAGACAUUUCCCAGUUGUUGAAACUUACUAGGAAGUGUCCCCCCAUCCAACAGAUAGAGGUACAAAAGAAUUAGGGGUAUCUGGAGGAAGUAACUCAAAAGAAAAAAAAAGGUGAGGUAUUGAAUAAAAUUUGACCAUUUGCAUAUUCACUAGUCUUCAAACAAGAACUUGCCUAUAACUGAGAAAAACUGCACACGUCUAAGCCAAUGGGUUACACUAUGCAGGUGCUAGAGUUUGAAACAAAAAUGCUUCUGUAAGCAUUGUAUAAGGUAAUAGAUUUUCCUAAAUUUACUUGCAAUAGCAAAAACAAGGUUUCUGGUAGAUUUCAACUACUUAGCAAAUCUAGAGCCUGAUCUGGCAAACCCUUAUCACACAAAUAAACCUAGAUAUAGCCCUUCUAACUUAAGUGCCAGAUUCUGAGACUUUUGCUAUACUGAGUCACCCCUUACUUCAAGGGUCGUCCCACUCAAGUCAGUAGGACCACUUGCAGACUAAGGUUCUACUCAUUGUGAGGAAAGGGUCAGAGUAUGUCCCUAAACAACUUUGAUUUUUAUGUUGUCAAAACAAUCCAAUAAGUAAUAUUUUGCAACAUUUAGGGGACAUCUCAUGUGAUAGGACAGUAGAAAAUUAGUAGAAUAAAGAUCUGCCAUUGUCCCACUUAUCUGCAUCUAUGGUAAAUUUAGAGAAGAUAUAGCACAGCUGUUCCUACCCAAAUUUCUCUGUGGGGCAAACCUUUCCUUUUUUACAGGAAUUUGGGCACUGGCUUAUAUGGUCUCUUCCUUAAUCUGUUGCUACUUCUGGCUGUGUGUUAUGUACUCUUCCACUAGGUGGUGCUACACUGUAUCUAUACAAACUGCUUUGUAGCAUGAUUAAAAAACAAGCUCCUGAGUGGGACACAGUGGUGGGACUACUGAGGAGCAAGAGGAGGGCCUGGUGGGAGUAACAAGAACAAACAACAGAAAGAAACAAGAAAAAUUAUUAGAAAAGAAAACAAAAAAGUGUUAAAAGCACAGCAAGACAGAAUGUGUGAGAUGUGACAAGCAGGUUGAGGGCAUGGUGUGAUAGGUUCUAGAGACCCCAGGGACAUGAGAGAAGUUGGCCCCAGACAAAAAGGGUUGGGAAUUCAUGGGUGCAGCAACAUGUGUUUAUCAUUCAUAUAAAUUGAUAUUUGAGAAAACUAAAUUGAAAUGGAUAAUUCUGGUAAUGACUAUGGUAAAUGUGAAAGAUGAAGGGUGAUAAAAAAGGUGCUUUCAGAGAUUGCUCUGACUGUGAUUUCAAUCAACAAGUAAAAGUCUGUUCCUCUUACCCUGGGUGCUGGUGAGAUAACAAGCAGAAGUACUAUUCAGGCUUUUAUUAUUAUUGUAGUUCCACAGUUUUGUACUUAAAGCAGAGACUCAAUCACUUAUACGGGAAGAAUACACUGUAACCUCUCCAAAAUUAUAGACCUUUUUUGUGGGCCAGAAAAUGAAUUUUCUGAGAAUUUAAAAAUAAAUCCAUUUAUUAGUUUAUGAAUUCAAAUUAAUUUUUAAAAGAAAUUGAGCAUCUUUUUAAAUCUUAAAUGAUCUUAAUGGAAUAAUGCAGACUCUUCAAACCUAUCAUAUAAUGAAAACUCUCUGAAAGUUUGUGCAUUGUUUAACUUUGAUGUUUUUAACAGUUUAGUGGCCAUUUUUUGGCAUUAUCAUUCUUAACUGAAAGUUGUUUCUUCAGCAGUGAUUGAAGACUAAUAUCCUUCUGCAGAAAGUUUCACCAGGAAUUGCCCCUUUUCAAAAUGUCUCAUAUACUAUUGUUCUCAAUGAGACUGAGAAAACAGACUGUCCUCAGUCAAGAUGAUGUUCUUGGUUUUGCUCCCAAUGAGAACGAUGAUAGCAUGUGGCCAUUUUGGAAGAAGGGGUUGCCACACUGAUAGACCAGUUCAGAUGAGAGCAAUAGGCCAGUUCACUUCUGUAUGAAUAUCAAAGAAGUAUGAGUAUGCAUUCAGAAUAAUUCACUCAUACGCUAAUAGAUAUAAAAAGAGAUGCUAAUGUUAGUGUAUUCACUUAUCUGUAACUGUCUGUUGUUAAAUUAUAUUUGCAUUGCAUAUACCCCUGUAAUUAUGUUUACAUUAUGUAUACCUUGGUAAUUAGAUAACCCUACAUCAAAGGUGUGGUAAGAAUGUACUUGAUGUAUAAACUUAACGAAAACUACUGAAGGAUUGUUAUUUGUUACUACAUUACCUUUUACAUUGUGUAUAUCUCAGAGACUAAAUUCAUCAAAUGUGAAUGGAACCUUGGAAAUGCUAAUGAAGGACUUAAUGGCUAUAACAGGAAAUGCUCAUUUCAAAGCAAGAGAUGGUGGAGGAGUAAAGACAUUUUUCACAUUGCCUUCUGUGUGGAAAAGCUAUAAAUAUGAUUAAAAAAAGGAUCCAGCAUCUCUGAACAAUUUGAGCAUUCAUAGGGAAACAUUCCAGAUGCAAAACAGAGAUCCACAAAAGUUAUUUUGAGUAACCCUGAGAAAUGUAUGGAAAACUAGCAGAUUAUAACAUCGCUGCCAUUAUUUUAGAUUUACAAACUUAGACUCACUUGUUAAUGUAUUUUAUGUGCUUUAACCUCUCAAUAACUCACUUUUUCUUAGCUAAUAAACCUUUAAGUUAGUUUAAUAG
Long non-coding RNA from Gopherus evgoodei (Goodes thornscrub tortoise), 3340 nucleotides. RefSeq lists it as uncharacterized. The record is from RefSeq and is a predicted model, not a curated record. The transcript is spliced from 2 exons. NCBI's taxonomy places the organism in Eukaryota, Metazoa, Chordata, Testudines, Testudinidae.